AGACGUAGGGGGCAAGCGUUGUCCGGAAUUACUGGGCGUAAAGGGUGCGUAGGCGGCAUUACAAGUCUAAUGUGAAAUCCCCGUGCUUAACAUGGGGUUUGCAAUAGAAACUGUAAAGCUAGAGUGCAGGAGAGGUAAGUGGAAUUCCUAGUGUAGCGGUGAAAUGCAUAGAUAUUAGGAGGAACACCAGUGGCGAAGGCGACUUACUGGACUGUAACUGACGCUGAGGUGCGAAAGCGUGGGGAGC
Molecule: ribosomal RNA, 247 nt
Filed under: uncultured bacterium
Lineage: Bacteria
Description: partial 16S ribosomal RNA
Rfam family: Bacterial small subunit ribosomal RNA
Source: RNAcentral